Molecule: transfer RNA, 73 nt
Filed under: Pocillopora damicornis (cauliflower coral)
Lineage: Eukaryota; Metazoa; Cnidaria; Anthozoa; Scleractinia; Pocilloporidae
Description: tRNA-Cys
Rfam family: tRNA
About the family: Transfer RNA (tRNA) molecules are approximately 80 nucleotides in length. Their secondary structure includes four short double-helical elements and three loops (D, anti-codon, and T loops).
Source: Rfam by way of RNAcentral
GUCUCUAUGGCUCAGUGGUAGAGCAUCAGAGUGCAGAAUCUAAAGGUCUGAGGUUCAAUUCCUCAUGGGGACU